GCAUGACUGAAUUCUGCAUUAGCUUUUCUAUAGUUAAAGCAGUCAGACAUCAUGCUAAAUUAUCUUCACCUUGACAUAAAUUGCCGUUGUGUCCUGUCAUAAUGAGUAUUCGAAAGGUGAGCACAAGA
Molecule: small nucleolar RNA, 128 nt
Organism: Mobula hypostoma (lesser devil ray)
Lineage: Eukaryota; Metazoa; Chordata; Chondrichthyes; Myliobatiformes; Myliobatidae
Product: small nucleolar RNA SNORA15
Exons: 1
Source: RefSeq, a predicted model, not a curated record